This 536-nucleotide transfer RNA is filed under the name uncultured Prochlorococcus sp. RNAcentral's name for it is "partial 16S-23S ribosomal RNA intergenic spacer". The stretch from base 212 to 284 matches the Rfam family "tRNA". The record is from RNAcentral. Lineage: Bacteria; Bacillati; Cyanobacteriota; Cyanophyceae; Synechococcales; Prochlorococcaceae.
CAGGGAGACAACAAAAUGUUAAAUAUUAAUUUUGUCACCUUAGGUCGAUCGGUACCUCAGAUUCUUAAUUUUUUUAAGAAUUUCAUUUCCUAAGUUUUUUCUAGGUCACACCCAUUACUUUUCCUGGGCCAUUAGCUCAGGUGGUUAGAGCGCACCCCUGAUAAGGGUGAGGUCCCUGGUUCAAGUCCAGGAUGGCCCAUAUCUCUAUGUUGGGGGUAUAGCUCAGUUGGUAGAGCGCCUGCUUUGCAAGCAGGAUGUCAGCGGUUCGAGUCCGCUUACCUCCACUGAUUACCACCUCUUCCAUACAUUGAACAGGGAACAGUAAUAAGUGUUUCUAUUCUGAACGAAUCUAGCUUCCUAAUAAACUUAUUAAGAUGCUGGACUCAUUGAAUUAAUUUCAUUGUUUUCAGAGAACCUUGACAACUGCAUAGAUUAUUUUUAAAGACAAUAAGCAUCUUUAUGAUGCAGAUUUAUUAUUUGUGCGAAUGCAUUAAAUAACAAUUCUAUUAAGCUGAUGCUUCAAAUAUGAAGUAAUU